Gadus macrocephalus (Pacific cod) is the source of this 420-nucleotide long non-coding RNA. RefSeq lists it as uncharacterized. The transcript is spliced from 3 exons. Lineage: Eukaryota; Metazoa; Chordata; Actinopteri; Gadiformes; Gadidae. The record is from RefSeq and is a predicted model, not a curated record.
CAGCUGAACAUAAUAAGUUAUUAAGACCGGUACCACUCGUUAGACUAGAGAGACAACAGGAAGGAAAAACAUUGUGUGAGUGCUCUGGAUCAUAUUAUCACUACUGGAUACAUUUACGGCAUCAAUGAAGAAUGGAUCAUUCCUGUAUCACGGGUGAAGCCACAUCCACCAACGGACCCCCCAACACUGCGGUGAGAGAGCUGCCACUACUUGGUAAUCAUGCAGGGUCUCAUGGGGGGCUCAGGGGACGAGACCCGAUGGCAGAGCCUCUGGAAAACAAGGAGAGACGCUGUGGUCCCCAGGGCCACGAGGGAAAGAAACAAGGAGAGAAACGCAAGAGCUUCUUAUCGUCAAAGAGUAUACAGUCAAGAUAGUAUGAACAACUGUCCUCGUCUCUCCCCUUAGAGAAAAAUGUACGAC